AACCUGGCGCCGCGACCAGUGUAUCGGGGGUCUUGGAAAUGGCUAAGAAAGCUGGCCUCUGCCUAGUAGGCUCUCGGCAGGGGGGCUGCCAAUCCCGGGAUGGUUACCGGAAAUGAACCGCGCGAUCUGGCCCUUUCACACCCACUUAGCUUUGUAGGGGGGUUGUAGUCUUUACAGGACAAAAGGGCACCUAUUCCAGAGCACACCCCCUUUUAUUCCUCUCCCUUCUGUGCCUCACUGCUUUCUGAUCUAAUAGUUCUCCCAAAAAAGAACAGCAAGAAGCGAUUGAACACAUUGAUGAAGUACAAAAUGAAAUAGACAGACUUAAUGAACAAGCCAGUGAGGAGAUUUUGAAAGUAGAACAGAAAUAUAACAAACUCCGCCAACCAUUUUUUCAGAAGAGGUCAGAAUUGAUCGCCAAAAUCCCAAAUUUUUGGGUAACAACAUUUGUCAACCAUCCACAAGUGUCUGCACUGCUUGGGGAGGAAGACGAAGAGGCACUGCAUUAUUUGACCAGAGUUGAAGUGACAGAAUUUGAAGAUAUUAAAUCAGGUUACAGAAUAGAUUUUUAUUUUGAUGAAAAUCCUUACUUUGAAAAUAAAGUUCUCUCCAAAGAAUUUCAUCUGAACGAGAGUGGUGAUCCAUCUUCAAAGUCCACCGAAAUCAAAUGGAAAUCUGGAAAGGAUUUGACAAAACGUUCAAGUCAAACGCAGAAUAAAGCCAGCAGGAAGAGGCAGCAUGAGGAACCAGAGAGCUUCUUUACCUGGUUUACUGACCAUUCUGAUGCAGGUGCUGAUGAGUUAGGAGAGGUCAUCAAAGAUGAUAUUUGGCCAAACCCAUUACAGUACUACUUGGUUCCCGAUAUGGAUGAUGAAGAAGGAGAAGGAGAAGAAGAUGAUGAUGAUGAUGAAGAGGAGGAAGGAUUAGAAGAUAUUGAUGAAGAAGGGGAUGAGGAUG
This 957-nucleotide small RNA is filed under the name Pongo abelii (Sumatran orangutan). RNAcentral's name for it is "processed transcript". The record is from RNAcentral. Lineage: Eukaryota; Metazoa; Chordata; Mammalia; Primates; Hominidae.